GUCAAGGAUACCGGAAGAGGCUACAGCAGGCUGUUUUGAAUAACGUUACAAUUUACUAAAAUUUGCUGACAAUAAUGACGUAUCCUAGUCCUCUACAGUUUGGAGAAGAUGCAUUAUUUCUGCGAUAGAGCACAAUGAGAAUGAGAGCUCCCGUUUGGCCGUGGAGAAUACAAAGAAGACUCAUUGUCAUACAGCUCAAGAAAAUAAGGGAAAGGCGGGCAGUGGAGGACAGCCAAGAGAUGGCGAGGGGAUCAGCGAGACUGAGAGGACGGCAUCUGUGGGCACGUUCAGCAUCGCGGCAGACCCUGAGCAGUGAUGCUGUCUCUCUGGCCAGUGAAGUCACCAUUUCAGACAUGGUGGCUGUGGGCACGUUCAGCAUCGCAGCAGACCCUGAGCAGUGAUGCUGUCUCUCUGGCCAGUGAAGUCACCAUUUCAGACAAGGUGGCUUUUCCCUUACUCUGUAUCCAUAUUUCCCAUAAGCAAAAUAACUGCCUAUAUCUUUUUACUUAAAUUUAAAAGUGUGAUUGCCAUGUUAUUCCAUAUUCAGCUGUUUUUGCUACUGUAUAUAUACUGUUUAUGCAGUUGUAUAUUUUAUAUCAAAAAUGUAAAAAAUGCAGAAAUGCAGCACUUUGUGCAUGUUUUUUAACCUUGUAUAAAGAUGAAAUAAAAUUUUAAAUAGAUAUAUUGAUGAAAUUCAC
This is a long non-coding RNA of Paramormyrops kingsleyae, 698 nucleotides long. RefSeq lists it as uncharacterized. NCBI's taxonomy places the organism in Eukaryota, Metazoa, Chordata, Actinopteri, Osteoglossiformes, Mormyridae. The record is from RefSeq and is a predicted model, not a curated record.